AUUGAAGAGGUUUGGAAAGACCCACCACAGAAGGUAAUAGUCCUGUAUGUUAAACGAGAAGACUUUAGAUAUGAUCCAGAGUACCACGGGACACGUGAAACCCUGUGGGAAGCAGGAGGGACCACCCUCCAAGGCUAAAUACUACCUAGUGACCGAUAGCGUAUAGUACCGUGAGGGAAAGGUGAAAAGAACCCCGGGAGGGGAGUGAAAUAGAACCUGAAACCCUGCACUUACAAGCUGUGGAAGCACAUUUCUUGUGUGACCGCGUACUUUUUGUAGAACGGGCCAACGAGUUACGUUAAGUAGCAAGGUUAAGCACUUAAGGUGCGGAGCCGUAGCGAAAGCGAGUUUUAACUGAGCGUUCAGUUACUUGACGUAGACCCGAAACCGGGCGACCUACCCAUGAGCAGGAUGAAGCGAAAGUAAAAUUUCGUGGAGGUCCGAACCCACGAGCGUUGAAAAGCUCGGGGAUGACUUGUGGGUAGCGGUGAAAUUCCAAUCGAGCCCGGAGAUAGCUGGUUCUCCCCGAAAUAGCUUUAGGGCUAGCCUCAAGGUGAGAGAUACGGAGGUAGAGCACUGAAUGUCCUAGGGGGUAUUGCACCUACCGAAGACUAUCAAACUCCGAAUGCCGUCAUCUUAUACUUGGGAGUCAGACUGUGGGUGAUAAGAUUCAUAGUCGAAAGGGCAACAGCCCAGAUCGUCAGCUAAGGUCCCUAAAUGUAAGUUAAGUGGUAAAGGAUGUGGGAUUGCACAGACAACCAGGAUGUUGGCUUAGAAGCAGCCACUCAUUCAAAGAGUGCGUAAUAGCUCACUGGUCGAGUGAUCCUGCGCCGAAGAUUUCCGGGGCUAAAACUUACUACCGAAGCUACGGCAUCAGUAAUGAUGGGUAGGGGAGCUUCCCAUACGGGUUGAAGCAUGACCGUAAGGACAUGUGGACAGUAUGGGAGUGAGAAUGUUGGCAUGAGUAGCGAGAUGUGGGUGAGAAUCCCACAGGCCGUAAACCCAAGGUUUCCAGGGGAAGGUUCGUCCGCCCUGGGUUAGUCGGGACCUAAGCUGAGGCCGAAAGGCGUAGGUGAUGGACAACAGGUUGAUAUUCCUGUACUACCGAUAACCGUUUGAGAGAAGGGAUGACACAGUAGGAUAAGCUAAGCACACUGUUGGUUAUGUGUGCCCAAGCAUUGAGGCAGUCAAAGUAGGCAAAUCCGCUUUGAUAAUGCUGGGAUGUGAUGGGGAGCGAAAUUUAGUAGCGAAGUAGCUGAUUUCACACUGUCAAGAAAAGUCUCUAUCGAGGUUAAAGGUACCCGUACCGCAAACCGACACAGGUGGGUGAGGAGAGUAUCCUAAGGCCAGCGAGAGAACUGUUGUUAAGGAACUCGGCAAAAUGACCCCGUAACUUAGGGAUAAGGGGUGCCACCAUCAGGUGGCCGCAGAGAAUAGGCCCAAGCGACUGUUUACCAAAAACAUAGGUUUCUGCUAAGUCGCAAGACGAUGUAUAGGAGCUGACGCCUGCCCGGUGCUGGAAGGUUAAGGGGAUCUGUUAGAGCAAUCGAAGCAGUGAACUUAAGCCCCAGUAAACGGCGGCCGUAACUAUAACGGUCCUAAGGUAGCGAAAUUCCUUGUCGGGUAAGUUCCGACCCGCACGAAAGGCGUAACGAUUUGGGCACUGUCUCAACAACAGACUCGGUGAAAUUGUAAUUCCGGUGAAGAUGCCGGAUACCUGCGACAGGACGGAAAGACCCCAUGGAGCUUUACUGUAGCUUGACAUUGGGUCUUGGUACUACAUGUACAGGAUAGGUGGGAGGCUUUGAAACCAGGACGCCAGUUUUGGCGGAGCCAUCCUUGGGAUACCACCCUUGUAGUACUGGGACUCUAACCAUAGGCCAUGAAUCUGGUCUUGGGACACUGUCAGGUGGGCAGUUUGACUGGGGCGGUCGCCUCCCAAAAGGUAACGGAGGCGCUCAAAGGUUCUCUCAGUACGGUCGGAAAUCGUACGUAGAGUGUAAAGGCAAAAGAGAGCUUGAUUGCAAGACAUACAGGUCGAGCAAGGAUGAAAAUCGGACUUAGUGAUCCGGUGGUUCUGCGUGGAAGGGCCAUCGCUCAACGGAUAAAAGCUACCCUGGGGAUAACAGGCUUAUCUCCCCCAAGAGUCCACAUCGACGGGGAGGUUUGGCACCUCGAUGUCGGCUCAUCACAUCCUGGGGCUGUAGUAGGUCCCAAGGGUUGGGCUGUUCGCCCAUUAAAGUGGUACGCGAGCUGGGUUCAGAACGUCGUGAGACAGUUCGGUCCCUAUCCGUCGCAGGCGUAGGAAAUUUGAGAAGACCUGUCCUUAGUACGAGAGGACCGGGAUGGACG
This 2352-nucleotide ribosomal RNA is filed under the name Clostridioides difficile. Its description in RNAcentral is "partial 23S ribosomal RNA". It matches the Rfam family "Bacterial large subunit ribosomal RNA", at positions 332 to 2703 of the family's 2925-position model. Lineage: Bacteria; Bacillati; Bacillota; Clostridia; Peptostreptococcales; Peptostreptococcaceae. The record is from RNAcentral.